GGCGAUGUGGUACUUCGAACACAUACAUUGCGCUUUCACCGCAGAGCCCCAGGUUCGAUUCCUGGCGUCGGCA
RNAcentral lists this transfer RNA (73 nucleotides) under Acanthamoeba castellanii str. Neff. It matches the Rfam family "tRNA". Rfam says of the family: Transfer RNA (tRNA) molecules are approximately 80 nucleotides in length. Their secondary structure includes four short double-helical elements and three loops (D, anti-codon, and T loops). The record is from Rfam by way of RNAcentral. Lineage: Eukaryota; Discosea; Longamoebia; Acanthamoebidae.